This is a non-coding RNA of Phrynosoma platyrhinos (Desert horned lizard), 72 nucleotides long. Lineage: Eukaryota; Metazoa; Chordata; Lepidosauria; Squamata; Phrynosomatidae. The record is from the annotation of a GenBank genome assembly.
GCCAGUGUGGUAUAGUGGUUUCAGCGCUAGACUACAACUCUGGAGACCAGAGUUCAAUUCCCUGUUCAGUGA